This 3039-nucleotide long non-coding RNA is filed under the name Paramuricea clavata. Lineage: Eukaryota; Metazoa; Cnidaria; Anthozoa; Malacalcyonacea; Plexauridae. The record is from RNAcentral.
CUUCUCACAUCAAUACUGGCAUUUAUAUAGUUUGUGGUCGUUUGUAUGGGAAUAUAUCUGCUAUUGUGGUGCGAGGGUUCUAUUAGGAUUGCUUCUAAGUGUCAGUGCGAUGGAAGCGAUACAAACUGACUAAAAUGGCUUUAGUAUAUUCAUAUUUCAAGCAUAAAGAUGGCUUUAAAACAGUGUGAGGAAGAAGCGAGCAAGGUUGCUGUUUGUAUUUGAAUGACAAAGGUCUGGCCGCCAAUGCAAUUCAAAACGUGUGGUUCACAGCGUCAAUGCUUUAGAAUUAGUUCGCCUGUAACUUCAAAGAUGUGAUAAACGUCGAAAGGAAUAAGGUGAGUUAUUAUAAUAAUGCGAGAAUUAUAAUUAUUGUUGUCUGCGAUUGUCGUAUUUAUACAUUACGACCGCCAUUAUGCUGAGGCUACUCUCAUUGCCAUUGCAGUCUCAGUUAAGAAAACUUGCGCGCGUUUUGAUUUACAAGUACUGUAGUUUUGUCUGAUUUAUCUUGCGUUUACUGCUUUCAUUUCAAUUAUAAAGACAAGUAUUUUAGAACCUGAGAUGGAAAAUCGGGAAAUGGCUGUUAUCAUAUACAUAUAGGAAUGCAAGAUUUUGUGCAUUCUAUUCAAAUUACGCACAACAACACAGACCAACAAUACUUUAUUCAUUAAAUUUCAAUGGCAAACUGAAACGGUAAUGUUUUAUAUUGAUUACUGAACGAUGGAAUUUAUUUUAUUAAUACUGUCUGUGAGAUGAGAUACAGUAUACACUACACAGCUGGACCUGAGCUGGUGUUUCAUGAAUAUUUUUGCCAACUCGAAUUUUAUAUUUGAUUUUUAACCAUUAAUUUAAGCUGCAAUGUUCCAAAUAUACCUUAUUUUAUUGUUUUAUUCUGGCUAACGCAGACAAUUUUUAUCUAAUUUGCCCGUAAACCUCCGACUAUAAGCCCUGGGCUUAUAUACUUUCGUAAGCGAUUUUUGAGGGGCUUAUACAAGGGGGGGGGUUAUAUACGCGGGGGGCUAAUACAUGGAUGAUCUUUUGUGUUAGUAAUAAACAAAUCAGACAUAAACAAGUCAGACAUAAACAGGAAAAUAUACAUCCAUUAAUAACGUGCUUUGAUUAACAUAACAUAUAGUCGGCUAUAAAGACAAUGACAAUGUUUUUAAAUAUCGUUCUCUGCUAUAUUAAAAGACAAUGAAAAUGUUGAAUAACGUAGUGGGCUACUGGGCUUAUAUUCGGGGGACUUAUAUUUGGGGGGCUUAUAUUUGGGUGUGCUUAUGUUCGGGGGGGGGGGCUUAUAUUUGGAAUGAAUUGAGCAUUAGUAUAUGUGGUGGGCUUAUAUUCCGGGGGGCUUAUAUUCGGGGGGAGGGCUUAUAGUCGAGGGGGGCUUAUAGUCGGAGGUUUACGGUAUAAUGACAGAGAUAAUUUUACCUAUCAUUGGGCUAUCAAUGGGAGAGUCCUGAGUAUUAAUAUUUAAGAGUGAAAAUAUUGAUUAUGAUAUAAUGUUCACAUUAUAAAAUCCCCAAACAUAAUUCUCUUUCUCGACCAUGUUAAAAGAUACACUAAACCCAGGGACGCCGGAACUGGGGGGCGGCUGCCCCCCUUGCCUUUUGCUAGGGGGGACAGGGGGGCAGAAGUGCCCUUUUAGUUGUAAAAUACUACGUGACAAAUCAGAUUUCCAACGAUGCUUUUUGUAGGAAAAUCAUGAGAUUCAGGCAAUUUAUAGUAUAUAUUUGACUUUUGGUAUGUCCGGAAAAAAUUUUUGACCCCUGAAAUGGUACACUGACCGACAUUUUUUGGCGACGGGGAGGGGGGGGAGGUCUCCCAAAAAGUUCUCGAGGUCUCGAAAAAAAAUUUUCCGGUAGAUUUUGAAGUUUUGCUCUAUAGAGGAGCCCUUGGUGUGUGUCCGCCCCCCUUUGCCUUAGUAUCGUUCCGGCGUCCCUGACUAAACCUAAUAAGUUCUUAUUGCAACAGAUUCUCAUUUUAAAUGUAGCACUUGUUAAGGUGAGAUAGCACAUCUCUUAUCCAUCCAGGACAAAUGACCCAUUUGACACAGUUAAUUAACACUAUAAUGGGAGUAAUUUUUCUUUCUUAAAAUGGCAAUGUAUCGAUAUGAUUUUUCAAUGGCAAAAUGCAAUUGGACUGUACGGGCCAGUCUGUACCAGUGACUAAUUAUAUAGUUAAGCUAGGUGACACUUGCUCGAUGGCUUCCCUGUUAGAUACUGUACUCCUUUUGAAAAAUAUUAAUUGCUACAUGUAGUGUUAAGGUGAGAUCAUGGCACAUCUCUUAUCCGUCCUGGACAAAUGACCCAUUUGACACGGGGUAACAUUAUAAUGAAGUAGUUUUUCAUUCUUGAAAUGGCGAUGUAUUGGCAUGAUUUUUCAAUGGCAAAAUGGAAUUGAACUGUAACAGUGAUUAAUUAUAUAGUUAAGGGACACUUGCUCAAUGGCUACCCUCUGUUAUAUACUGUGCAUACUCCUUUUGAAGUAAUUAAAAUUGCUACAUGUAGUGUUAAGGUGAGAUGGCACAUCUCUUAUCCUAUCAUUGCAUGUGAUCAAUGCUUAUUUGUCUCAACAAAGAGAUGGUUUGCGCUCUAGCUGGCUAUCUCAUUGACAAUUAGAUAGCGAGUAGCGUAAAGCCAAUUAGAAUACAGCAUUUGCAUUAGAACUUGACAACAUUUAAAAUUACUAAAUAUAUAUACCAUAUAGACUAAUGUGAAAAUGAAUACUUUUAGGAUGACGACCCCAUUGUCCAUUGAUGAAGAAGUGAGGAAAUCAACCUAUAGCUAUCCUUGAAUCUUGGCAUCAGGUGACAUUGCAUCCUUGGACCCAUUGUACAUUGCUGCCGUGGGGCAAAUUUACUUGCAUUUUGCUGGUAAAAAUAUUCCACAUACUUUUUGCUACAUUCCAUGUUCUAAAUAUGGAAUACACUCCAGGUGUUUCGAGUGUUUAUGCAUUUCUAGAAUUUAGAAGCUGUCACCUUAAACCGCCCUGCUGAUGCCGAGAACAAAAUUUCUGUACAACAACUUUUAAGUGAGCUUG